GACGGAGGAUGCAAGUGUUAUCCGGAAUCAUUGGGCGUAAAGGGCGCGUAGGUGGCGGGACAAGCGUGCGGUGAAAGCUCGGGGCUCAACCCCGCGUCGGCCGUGCGAACUGUUUUGCUUGAGCACUGUAGAGGCAGGCGGAAUUCCGGGUGUAGCGGUGGAAUGCGUAGAGAUCCGGAAGAACACCGGUGGCGAAGGCGGCCUGCUGGGCAGUAGCUGACACUGAGGCGCGACAGCGUGGGGAGCAAACAGG
This 253-nucleotide ribosomal RNA is filed under the name uncultured bacterium. RNAcentral's name for it is "partial 16S ribosomal RNA". It matches the Rfam family "Bacterial small subunit ribosomal RNA", at positions 524 to 776 of the family's 1533-position model. The record is from RNAcentral.